This 1208-nucleotide ribosomal RNA is filed under the name Sylvirana guentheri. RNAcentral describes it as "partial 16S ribosomal RNA". The stretch from base 826 to 1208 matches the Rfam family "Bacterial large subunit ribosomal RNA", at positions 2049 to 2602 of the family's 2925-position model. Lineage: Eukaryota; Metazoa; Chordata; Amphibia; Anura; Ranidae. The record is from RNAcentral.
CCAAAAUCUAGCCCAUAAAACCCCAUGACCUCCCAACCUUCCCUUUAUAACCAACAUUUUAACAUUUUAGGACGGGAAUCAAAAAUUACUAGGGCUUCAGAACUUCAACACUUAAAGCCACCGUCUGGUCAAAGAUGGAAAUUUCAAUAAGGGAAAACCUCCGACUUAGAAUACUGUUGUCAGGAAAGAGUUUACUUUCCUUAAGUAACUUAGCUAUCAACUAACCCUUACUUAAGAGUUAUCAAAUAAGCCCAGCUUAUUGAACCAGGCCCAACCUCUAACACCGGGUAACAAUGGUAGUCAAAUAAAGUGGCCUAAAAGCAGCCACCUUUCAAAAAGCGUCAUAGCUUAACUUUAUCCAACCAACAAUUACUUUAAACCCCACGAACCCUUAACCUCUACUGAACUAUUUUAUACUACUAUAAAAAAUAUUAUGCUAGAACUAGUAACAAGAAAAUACUUUUCUCCUAAAUGUAAGUAUAAACCAAAACGGACCCACCAUUGGUAAUUAACGUAAAUGCAACCAUUAUAGCAACACAUAACUAGAAAAUCCUAUAAUACAUCACGUUAACCUCACACCAGAACAUUACAGGAAAGAUUAAAAGAGAAAGAAGGAACUCGGCAAACCUUAGCCCCGCCUGUUUACCAAAAACAUCGCCUCUUGACACCCAUAAGAGGUCCAGCCUGCCCAGUGACACAAUUUAACGGCCGCGGUAUCCUAACCGUGCGAAGGUAGCAUAAUCACUUGUUCUCUAAAUAAGGACUAGUAUCAACGGCAUCACGAGGGCUAUACUGUCUCCUUUCUCCAAUCAGUGAAACUAAUCCCCCCGUGAAGAAGCGGGGAUUUGAAUAUAAGACGAGAAGACCCCAUGGAGCUUAAAGCACUAUAUUCACCACCUUUCUCUUACAACAACUUAAUUCUAAAACCUGAAUAUUAGCUUUUGGCUGGGGGGGCCGCGGAGUAAAACCCAACCUCCGCAACAAAUGGGCUACGCCCUUAUCUAAGAGUUACGACUCUAAGAAUCAACAAACUGAUGUACUUUGACCCGAAUAAUCGAUCAACGAACCAAGUUACCCUGGGGAUAACAGCGCUAUCUACUUCAAGAGCUCAUAUCGACAAGUAGGUUUACGACCUCGAUGUUGGAUCAGGGUAUCCCAGUGGUGCAGCCACUACUAACGGUUCGUUUGUCAACGAUAAACCCCACGAU